Long non-coding RNA from Vitis vinifera (wine grape), 798 nucleotides. RefSeq lists it as uncharacterized. The transcript has 2 exons. The record is from RefSeq and is a predicted model, not a curated record. NCBI's taxonomy places the organism in Eukaryota, Viridiplantae, Streptophyta, Magnoliopsida, Vitales, Vitaceae.
UUAACCCAAUGUUGAAGAGGAAAAGUGAAUUCUUUUAUAUGAGCAUAAAGUGAAAUAAGACAGGCAAGGAAGGAGAACCCACACGCCUAACAAUGAGGAGGCGCCUUCCUUCCCACAAAGUUGAAUCAAUAUACUCUCUUUUUCACAGUCCACACCCUUCACUCUAUGCCUCAGAAAAAGUGAGGUGGUAUCCCCUUCCAAGUCACAUAAAUUGCUUGAUUUAAAUGCUUAUCUAGAGCAUAUCAAUACAUUUCCUAACAUAAAUUCCAAAGCCAAAACCACAUAAAACCUAAAAAGAGGGAAAAAAAAAGGUUAAAAAGAAAAAAGGAAAGAAAGAUCCUUCUCUGCUCUUUCUUCCCUCUUCUCCGCCAAAGAAAAUGCAAUCCUUAAACCUCCAUGGAAGCUAUGGUCUUCCCCUCUGUGUUUCAGGGAUCACUCAUCGUCACACCGUCUCUGAUGAGAUGGCAGAUCAUGACAGAAGAAGGGAGGCCAUGAAAAGGAAAAUAUCUCAAGCUAGAGAGAGCGUGCACACAAAUCAAGAAAUGGGUAUUGGGAGAAACUAUGGAAGAGAGGUUGAACAGAUCAAAGAAGGUGAGGUUGAUGAAGAUCAUGAUCAUUACCGCCCUUGUUUGGCUUGCACAGCUAAAGCUGCAUAGCUUUGUUCCUGAAUCAAAAUUGUUGCAAGACCUUCCCUUCUGGGAUUCCUUGAGUUACAUCUCUUUAUCAAUUUAUGUAUGGAUUCAUCCCCUGUUGGGCUCUUCAUUUCUAUGAUCUUGGUUUUGGUGUGUUCUUCUUCUA